This 233-nucleotide ribosomal RNA is filed under the name uncultured bacterium. RNAcentral describes it as "partial 16S ribosomal RNA". It matches the Rfam family "Bacterial small subunit ribosomal RNA", at positions 15 to 240 of the family's 1533-position model. The record is from RNAcentral.
GAUCAUGGCUCAGGAUGAACGCUAGCUACAGGCUUAACACAUGCAAGUCGAGGGGCAGCAUCAUCAAAGCUUGCUUUGAUGGAUGGCGACCGGNGCACGGGUGAGUAACACGUAUCCAACCUGCCGACAACACUGGGAUAGCCUUUCGAAAGAAAGAUUAAUACCGGAUGGCAUAGUUUUCCCGCAUGGGAUGAUUAUUAAAGAAUUUCGGUUGUCGAUGGGGAUGCGUUCCA